RNAcentral lists this unclassified non-coding RNA (378 nucleotides) under uncultured Rickettsiales bacterium. RNAcentral's name for it is "contains 16S-23S intergenic spacer region". Lineage: Bacteria; Pseudomonadati; Pseudomonadota; Alphaproteobacteria; Rickettsiales. The record is from RNAcentral.
UCCUACUUAUCAUAGGCAGUUUCCUUAGAGUUCUCAACUGAAUGUUAGCAACUAAGGACGAGGGUUGCGCUCGUUGCGGGACUUAACCCAACAUCUCACGACACGAGCUGACGACAGCCAUGCAGCACCUGUGUUCCAGCCACCCGAAGUGAAGAAAGCCAUCUCUGGCGAUCAAACUGGACAUGUCAAGGCCUGGUAAGGUUCUUCGCGUUGCCUCGAAUUAAACCACAUGCUCCACCGCUUGUGCGGGUCCCCGUCAAUUUCUUUGAGUUUUAACCUUGCGGCCGUACUCCCCAGGCGGACUGCUUAAUGCGUUAGCUUCGUCACUGAAGGGUAACCCCCCAACAACUAGCAGUCAUCGUUUACAGCGUGGACUAC